AGCGGGGUAGAGCAGCGGUAGCUCGACAGGCUCAUAACCUGUAGGUCGUGCGGUUCGAAUCCCACCCCCGCAA
This 73-nucleotide transfer RNA is filed under the name Anaerolineae bacterium. RNAcentral describes it as "tRNA-Met". It matches the Rfam family "tRNA". From Rfam's summary of the family: Transfer RNA (tRNA) molecules are approximately 80 nucleotides in length. Their secondary structure includes four short double-helical elements and three loops (D, anti-codon, and T loops). The record is from RNAcentral. Lineage: Bacteria; Bacillati; Chloroflexota; Anaerolineae.